RNAcentral lists this ribosomal RNA (253 nucleotides) under uncultured bacterium. Its description in RNAcentral is "partial 16S ribosomal RNA". It matches the Rfam family "Bacterial small subunit ribosomal RNA", at positions 524 to 776 of the family's 1533-position model. The record is from RNAcentral.
GACGGGAGAUGCGAGCGUUGUUCGGAAUCAUUGGGCUUAAAGCGUGUGUAGGCGGCUCGGUAAGUACCUUGUGAAAUCCCACGGCUCAACCGUGGAACUGCUUGGUCUACUGCCGGGCUCGAGGUUGGUAGAGGUGCCUGGAACUCUAGGUGGAGCGGUGAAAUGCGUAGAUAUCUAGAGGAACGCCCGUGGCGAAAGCGGGGCACUGGGCCAAUCCUGACGCUGAGACACGAAAGCGUGGGGAGCAAACGGG